GAUCCUGGCUCAGGAUGAACGCUAGCGACAGGCUUAACACAUGCAAGUCGAGGGGCAGCACAGGUAGCAAUACCGGGUGGCGACCGGCGCACGGGUGAGUAACGCGUAUGCAACUUACCUAUCAGGAGGGGGAUAACCCGGCGAAAGUCGGACUAAUACCGCAUGAAGCAGGGGCCCCGCAUGGGGAUAUUUGGACUAAAGAUUCAUCGCUGAUAGAUAGGCAUGCGUUCCAUUAGG
RNAcentral lists this ribosomal RNA (237 nucleotides) under uncultured bacterium. RNAcentral's name for it is "partial 16S ribosomal RNA". It matches the Rfam family "Bacterial small subunit ribosomal RNA", at positions 15 to 245 of the family's 1533-position model. The record is from RNAcentral.